Molecule: ribosomal RNA, 1489 nt
Filed under: Alcaligenes faecalis
Lineage: Bacteria; Pseudomonadati; Pseudomonadota; Betaproteobacteria; Burkholderiales; Alcaligenaceae
Description: bacterial SSU rRNA
Rfam family: Bacterial small subunit ribosomal RNA
Source: RNAcentral
AUUGACGCUCGCGGGAUGCUUUACACAUGCAAGUCGAACGGCAGCGCGAGAGAGCUUGCUCUCUUGGCGGCGAGUGGCGGACGGGUGAGUAAUAUAUCGGAACGUGCCCAGUAGCGGGGGAUAACUACUCGAAAGAGUGGCUAAUACCGCAUACGCCCUACGGGGGAAAGGGGGGGAUCGCAAGACCUCUCACUAUUGGAGCGGCCGAUAUCGGAUUAGCUAGUUGGUGGGGUAAAGGCUCACCAAGGCAACGAUCCGUAGCUGGUUUGAGAGGACGACCAGCCACACUGGGACUGAGACACGGCCCAGACUCCUACGGGAGGCAGCAGUGGGGAAUUUUGGACAAUGGGGGAAACCCUGAUCCAGCCAUCCCGCGUGUAUGAUGAAGGCCUUCGGGUUGUAAAGUACUUUUGGCAGAGAAGAAAAGGUAUCCCCUAAUACGGGAUACUGCUGACGGUAUCUGCAGAAUAAGCACCGGCUAACUACGUGCCAGCAGCCGCGGUAAUACGUAGGGUGCAAGCGUUAAUCGGAAUUACUGGGCGUAAAGCGUGUGUAGGCGGUUCGGAAAGAAAGAUGUGAAAUCCCAGGGCUCAACCUUGGAACUGCAUUUUUAACUGCCGAGCUAGAGUAUGUCAGAGGGGGGUAGAAUUCCACGUGUAGCAGUGAAAUGCGUAGAUAUGUGGAGGAAUACCGAUGGCGAAGGCAGCCCCCUGGGAUAAUACUGACGCUCAGACACGAAAGCGUGGGGAGCAAACAGGAUUAGAUACCCUGGUAGUCCACGCCCUAAACGAUGUCAACUAGCUGUUGGGGCCGUUAGGCCUUAGUAGCGCAGCUAACGCGUGAAGUUGACCGCCUGGGGAGUACGGUCGCAAGAUUAAAACUCAAGGAAUUGACGGGGACCCGCACAAGCGGUGGAUGAUGUGGAUUAAUUCGAUGCAACGCGAAAACCUUACCUACCCUUGACAUGUCUGGAAAGCCGAGAGAUUUGGUCGUGCUCGCAAGAGAACCGGAACACAGGUGCUGCAUGGCUGUCGUCAGCUCGUGUCGUGAGAUGUUGGGUUAAGUCCCGCAACGAGCGCAACCCUUGUCAUUAGUUGCUACGCAAGAGCACUCUAAUGAGACUGCCGGUGACAAACCGGAGGAAGGUGGGGAUGACGUCAAGUCCUCAUGGCCCUUAUGGGUAGGGCUUCACACGUCAUACAAUGGUCGGGACAGAGGGUCGCCAACCCGCGAGGGGGAGCCAAUCUCAGAAACCCGAUCGUAGUCCGGAUCGCAGUCUGCAACUCGACUGCGUGAAGUCGGAAUCGCUAGUAAUCGCGGAUCAGAAUGUCGCGGUGAAUACGUUCCCGGGUCUUGUACACACCGCCCGUCACACCAUGGGAGUGGGUUUCACCAGAAGUAGGUAGCCUAACCGUAAGGAGGGCGCUUACCACGGUGGGAUUCAUGACUGGGGUGAAGUCGUAACAAGGUAGCCGUAUCGAAUGUGCGC